Molecule: ribosomal RNA, 516 nt
Filed under: uncultured Alphaproteobacteria bacterium
Lineage: Bacteria; Pseudomonadati; Pseudomonadota; Alphaproteobacteria
Description: bacterial SSU rRNA
Rfam family: Bacterial small subunit ribosomal RNA
Source: RNAcentral
UGAGUUUGAUUCUGGCUCAGAACGAACGCUGGCGGCAGGCCUAAUACAUGCAAGUCGAGCGCACCUUCGGGUGAGCGGCGGACGGGUGAGUAACGCGUGGGAAUGUGCCCUUCUCUGCGGAAUAGCCUCUGGAAACGGAGAGUAAUACCGCAUACGCCCUUCGGGGGAAAGAUUUAUCGGAGAAGGAUCAGCCCGCGUUAGAUUAGGUAGUUGGUGGGGUAAUGGCCUACCAAGCCUACGAUCUAUAGCUGGUUUGAGAGGAUGAUCAGCCACACUGGAACUGAGACACGGUCCAGNCUCCUACGGGAGGCAGCAGUAGGGAAUCUUNNNCAAUGGGGGAAACCCUGAUCUANNCAUGCCGCGUGUGUGACGAAGGCCCUAGGGUCGUAAAGCACUUUCGCCAGGGAUGAUAAUGACAGUACCUGGUAAAGAAACCCCGGCUAACUCCGUGCCAGCAGCCGCGGUAAUACGGAGGGGGUUAGCGUUGUUCGGAAUUACUGGGCGUAAAGCGUACGU